This is a long non-coding RNA of Papaver somniferum (opium poppy), 3351 nucleotides long. RefSeq lists it as uncharacterized. NCBI's taxonomy places the organism in Eukaryota, Viridiplantae, Streptophyta, Magnoliopsida, Ranunculales, Papaveraceae. The transcript is spliced from 2 exons. The record is from RefSeq and is a predicted model, not a curated record.
UGAGAAUUCGACGCACGUUCUUAACUGAAAAAUAAAAUAACAUAACCUACCACUUUUCCUUCUUCUUCUCCUCCCAGCUCUCGUUACUAUCGUCCAACCACCAUAAAAAACCAAAAAAUUGUGUCUUUCUCUCCUUUCCCAUGGGAAGAAAAUAACCAAUUUUAAACUUCAAUUCUUCAUCUCCUACUCGAUUGUUCCAACCCUACGAGAGAAUCAUUCCUACCUUCUAUCAAUCAUUCGCUUUAAAAAUCCUAAAUCGUGUUAACCAACUGAACCCUAAAUACCAUCAAAAUUAAAUCAAAACCGAACCAAUUGUUUUGAGUUUUCUCCUGAUUCUUUCUUCUUGUUCUUCUUCUUCAGCGAAACCUGGAUGAUGAUUAGUCAUGUUACAAACCCUAGAUACUAAAAUUUCAUAGGGAAGGGAUAUCUCCUAAUUUGUUUCCUUCUCUUAUAAAUCUAAAAUCCUUUAAUUUAUGUCUGAGUCCGGCUAUUUUGUUUCUUGUUCAUUAUGAUUUUGUAAUUCAAUUUUGAAAUCUAACCUGUCUUAGUUUGAUUUUUCCUCAUUUAUGGACAUGGAUUUCGUAAUUGCAUGAAUUGAUGAUUAUAGAUGGCAGAAGAGGAAAAGGAAAAAUAUGAGAGAAUAAGAUCGAUAGAAGUGGUGGUGGCGGUUUUUAAACUUCAUCAGAAAAAGAUGAACAUCCUAAAGAUCGGUAGGAUGGAGUUAUCUAGAAGGACUAUUGGUAUUGGUAUUGGUAUUGGUAUUGGUUUUAGUUUAUGUUAUUAUACAUCUGCCUUAUGUAUUCAUGGAUUAUUGACUUACUGUUAUGGUUUAUGUAAUACCAAUGAUCUUGUUUGUUGUGUUAUUUUGAUUUUGUUUCAUAUUGAUAGAAUAUAGACACAGCUAUACUGUGUAACCAAAUUGGAAUCUCUUGAGGUUAUAUAUAAAAUGUUUUUGUUCUGUGAAGUUGAUGAAACUGCAGUGUCGCAUCAUAUUCAGAUUAAAGCUUUAUCUUUGAAGUAACUUCGUGCGAACUAUAAGAAUAUUCCGGGCUUCUGGAAAUACAGUAUUUACUCGUAAGUUUCUUAGGUAGAUGUAGCUUUUAUACAAGGUUUAAAUUUUGGGUAUAUAUAUUUUAGAGCUCUUCUUAUCUUUUUUUGAUCAGCUUUAGAGCUCUUCUUAUCAAGAGGAUUAUAUCUUUCCAUCUUCUAUGAUUGAUCUUAAUUUAUGUAUUCCUUUAAUGACCUCGUAUUAUUUAUGGAUAAACCCAAGACUUUUGAUUGAUGAAGUGAUCCAGUCAGGUGUAGUUCCUCGUUUGUUUAGUUUCUUCAGAGGGAGGACUUUCCACAACUUCAAGUGGAUACUUUCUCUGAAAUUGAGUUAGGUUUUCCCCUUCUUUAUAUUGGAAUACAAUUAAUUAAGUAAAUAACGAUUUAGUGAAACAUUUUAUCUUUCUCCUUCUUUUGUAUGCACUGAUUUAUCAUGAUUUUUAUUUUUGAACAGUUUGAGGUGGCUCUGGCUCUAAUGAACAUUGCUUCUGGAACCUCAGAGAAUACCGAAGUGGUCAUUGAGCAGGGAGCUAUCCCAAUCUUUGUGGCGCUUCUCAGUUCCCCCAGUGAUGAUGUUCGAGACCAGGUAACUUGAUAAUAAAGACAUAAUGAGUGGAGUUUCUUUAAUAUUAUUUCUUAUUUGUAUAACUUGGCUUGAUUUUUCUAAUUUAAAGGAUGAGAUGAGGUGAAGCUACUUUCCAUGUGUAAGCAAAUGGGGCUUAAGACUAACAAUUUCGUGUUUCUUUUUUAAAAAAAGAAGUCUAGGAUGUAUGGGCACUUGGAAAUGUUGCCGGCGAUUCACCUAAAUGCUGAGAUCUUGUUCUUGGCCACGGGGCCUUGAUUCCUUUGUUAAAUCAAUUGAAUGAGCAUGCCAAACUUUCUAUGCUGAUAAAUUCUACCUGUAUUUUAUCUAAUUUUUAUCGGGGCAAGCCACAGUCGCCAGUUACAACUACUGUUAGGGUGGUUUACGGUGUCCUGCUUGGCAUCCCUAAUAGAAACUAAAUUUUCUUUGUUGGUCAAUUCCUUGUACAUACAAAACCUGCACUCCCUGCUCUUAAGCGUCUUAUUAACUCCACUGAUGAAGAAGUACUUACAGACUCGUGCUGGGCCCUUUCUUAUCUGACGAUACAAAUGAAAACCAAGUUGUUAUUGAGGUUGGUGCAUGUCGCCGACUUGUUGAGUUACUGCUGUAAGUAUCACUUUAUUUUAUUAUGUUUCUAGACUCUGCUAGAUGUAUAGUAUGUAAUUUGAGAGAAAUUUAUUUUGGAGUCACCCAUCUCCUACUGUACUCAUUCAAUAUUGUUACUGGAGAUGAUCGUCGGCCCCAGGUACCAAUGACUUAGUUUAUCUUGUAUCCUUAUGAAAUGAGAUGAACUGUUGUAUUUAAAAUUGUUUUCAUUUUUGGUAUGUUGGCUUAUAUUUUGUUUUUCCCUUCUAUCUAGUGUAUCAUUGAACUUUAAGCACUUCCCUGCCUCAUGAACCUGUUGACACAACCAAUAAAAAAGUAUAAAGAAAGAAGCUUGCUGGACUAUAACUUAGGAUGUUUGUGUUGUAUAAACAGCCUACAAAACUACUACAAGAUUGAAUCCUCAACCACUGCACUUGACAAGAACCUGGGAUUACCCACCUCUAUCUCGUCGGUUGGAAAGAGCAUCCAGGACAUAGCCUUAAAAUAUAUGGGGUAAACAUGUACACACCGUAAUCAAUUAUAUCACCCUCCUGAAUAAAGAAACUAAAAUACGUUAUGUGGAGAACGAUGAAAACAUAAUAAACCAGUUGAAGCUCUGAAACAAUGUAACGCUUUAUUAUGUUUGAAAAAGUUAGCUAAUAUGUUUUGUCGUUGUUUCCAGAAGUAGUGUUUGAGAUAGUCCAUCUUCUCAAAUUUAUAAACAUCUAGUGCUUGGUAGAAAAAGGGGAGUUUCUCUUAUUUUUACUUAAAAAUGUCGACGUGUAUCCAUCUUCUCUUCAGUCUGCAACAAAUUCAUUCCCUACUGAUAUUAUAAGACUGGAUGAAGAUAUCAUGUCACCUCUUGCUGGGAGGAGAAGUAACUUCAUGCUUAUGAGAGGUUAUAUUUCUGGAAACACAUCUAAACUCCUGGAUAGACCAAUAUGCAAGUGAAGGAAUGUUAUGUUAUCCAUCUGUUUGUCAUUUUAAUUUUAUUUUUAACCUUCAACUAUGUCAUUUGUUGGAAACUCAGCAGUAGACUUGAAUUUCUGUGGUGUUAAGAUUUUCUGUGUUGCUUGAAUGUAAUAAAUUUAUACCUUGUAAUUCUUUUUUGAAUGAAUAAAUGAUGUUGUUGGAAA